Molecule: long non-coding RNA, 20032 nt
Filed under: Eucalyptus grandis
Lineage: Eukaryota; Viridiplantae; Streptophyta; Magnoliopsida; Myrtales; Myrtaceae
Description: long non-coding RNA (EGRA_LNC002005)
Source: RNAcentral
UGAUUAGACAUGGUGCAGAUUAGCAAAUUUACACCAGCAUGGGAUCCUGAGUUUGUUCAAAAUUGCAUCAAUGUGCAGGUUUCCGCCUGUCCAAUGUCAGACCUACUUGUCCCAAAGACUCUACGAUACUCAUGCUGAUUUAAAUGUAUACAGAAGGGAAGGAGCUUAGAUUUUUCCAGUGAGAGUGGAAGCCUGUCAAGCCGUGUUUGCCCGAAGUAGGGGUAUGCUUUGAGAACUUGUACAGAUGUGCGUAAUAAGCUUAGAGAGGGGCAUCCAAUGGGGUACCUUUAUGUACAUGCAUAUGCAUAUACAAUCAAUGAUCUGUUUAUGUUUCUGCAUGGAAGCAAUAGUUCAGUCGCUUCUGCCUUAUUUUGCUCCUAAAUUACCAGUUUGUACAUGCAACGCUUUGAGAAAGGAAGUGAAAAGGAGAUGCCACACUCAUGUCUUAGCAUCGACUCUCCUGCGAUUCAACGGAUGGGUCUGUCAGCUUUUCAACGAUAGAUACGUAGAUUGGACUGUACAUGCAACUUUCUGCGUACUUGACGAGAUUUCUGGACGAGGUGGGCGUGUUGCUAAGCCUACAAAGGAUUGUAAAUUUUGAAGAGCUGAGGAAGAGAGACCAAAAAUUUCCAUGUGGAUGGGACCAUCAGCAGCAUUGGCAAGUGCAGUUACCGAGAUCGUAAGCCACUUUAGCCACGUUGGCCGCCACUUGCAAAGAAAUUUUUCUGAGAUGUUUCUAAAAGAUAUAUAGAUCGUAAGCCAUUUUUCUGACUGUUCAUUAUGGAGAAGUUCAUCUGUUUUGCAUUUGUUGAUGUUUUGUUGGCUUCCCUAUUGAUGUUUCGCCAGAUUGGGCAAGGGCGAAGGAACGGGUAUUAUAAUUUUACAAUUUAAAGUCACCGUGAUACACACAAAGUUUGCAUAAUUUUCUCCAUCAAACAUGAGCUUCAUAAAAUUAUUAUCUAUGACAUAUUUUAUUUGAAUUAAUAAAUGAAAGGAUGACAAAAAACAGAUUAAAUAUAUUAUGGGUCUAAUUAGACCAACUGAAAGUUGUGGGAAGAUAUUUCACAUUAAUUAAAAGUGAUUUAAUUGAAUCAAUUGAAAGUUCAAAUAUGACAUGAAGCAUGGAUAAAUUUUGACAGAUUACUAAUAACAUUAUCUCUUCCAAUAAUAGAAACUUUCAAUCAGUCAACUUCCCACGAGAUACUUGAUAUUGUCCCUGCGGGAAGGUUACAAUAGUUAUCACAAAACCUUUUCACAUUUGUGCUUUGGAGAAUGAUCCAAAGUUCCAUUUGUACUCUCGUAGAGUUGAAAGUAAGUGUAAAAGUAUAAACGUGAAGAAUGAACCAUAGACAUGAUUGGGGGACAUCAUUUGAUAAUUAGUCUUUCUUUACAUUGUUUUCUUUUUCUUUCUUUCUGAUUGAGACAACCAUUUGGUAGGUUUUGGUAUUGAACUUUUAGAACAGGUCGAAAUUAGCGAACCGUCUAUUGAUGCAAACAAAGGGGACUCUAAUAAUUAUGGAGGAGUUCAUCUGUUUAGCAUUUGUUGAUGUUCUGUUGGCUUCCCUAUUGAUGUUUCGCUAGAUCUGGGCGAGGGCGAAGGAACGGGUAUUAUGAUUUUACAAUUUAAAGUCACCAUGGCACACACGAAGUCCGCGUAAUUUUCUCUAUCAAACAUCCGCUUAAUAAAAUUGUUAUCCAUGACAUAUUUCAUUGAAAUUAAUAAAUGAAAGAAUGACAAAAAACAUAUUAAAUAAAUUACGGAUCCAAUAAGACCAAUUCAAAGUUGUGGGAAGAUAUUUCACAUUAAUCAAAAGUGAUUUAAUUGAAUUGAUUGAAAGUUCAAAAAGUUCAAAAGUAAGUGUGAAAGUAAGUGUGAACGUGAAGAACGGGCCAUAGACAUGAUCUAUGGACAUCAUUUGAUAGUUAGUCUUUCUUUACAUUGUUUUCUUUUUCUUUUUUCUGAUUGAGACAACCAUUUGGUAGGUUUUGGUAUUGAACAUUAAGAACAAAUCAAAAUUAGAGAACCGUCUAUUGAUGCAAUCAAAGGAGACUCUAAUAAUUAUGGAGGAGUUCAUCUGUUCAGCACUUGAUGAUGUUCUGUUGGCUUCCCUAUUGAUGUUUCGCUAGAUUUGGGCGAGGGCGUAGGAAUGGGUAUUAUAAUUUUACAAUUUAAAGUCACCAUGACAUGCGCGAAGUCCACGUAAUUUUCUCCAUCAAACAUCAGCUUAAUAAAACUGUUAUCCAUGACAUAUUUCAUUUAAAUUAAUAAAUGAAAGGAUGACAAAAAACAUAUUAAAUAUAUUAGGAUCCAAUAUGACCAAUUCAAAGUUGCAGGAAGAUAUUUCACAUUAAUCAAAAGUGAUUUAAUUGAAUUGAUUGAAAGUUCAAAAAGUGCAAAAGUAAGUGUGAAAGUAAGUGCGAAUGUGAAGAACGGGCCAUAGACAUGAUCGAGGGACAUCAUUUGAUAGUUAGUCUUUCUUUACAUUGUUUUCUUUUUCUUUUUUCUAAUUGAGACAACCAUUUGGUAGGUCUUGGUAUUGAACACUAAGAACAGGUCGAAAUUAGCGAACCGUCUAUUGAUGCAAUCAAAAGAGACUAUUCAUUAUGGAGAAGUUCAUCUUUUUAGCAUUUGUUGAUGUUCUAUUGGCUUCCGAAUUGAUGUUUUGCCAGAUAUGGGCAAGGGCGAAGGAAUGGGUAUUAUAAUUUUACAAUUUAAAGUCACCAUGACACGAACAAAGUUCGCGUAAUUUUCUCCAUAAAAUAGGAGCUUCAUAAAAUUGUUGUCCAUUACAUAUUUCAUUUAAAUUAAUAAAUGAAAGGAUGACAAAAAACAUAUUAAAUAUAUUACGGAUUUAAUUAGACCAAUUAAAAGUUGCAGGAAGAUAUUUCGCAUUAAUCAAAUGUGAUUUAAUUGAAUUAAUUGAAAGUUCAAAUAUGACAUGAAGCAUGGAUGAAUUUGAUAGACUAUAAGUAACCUUAUCUCUUCCGACAGUAGGAACUUUCAAUUAGUCAACUUUCCACAAGACACUUGAUAUUGUCCUCGCGGGAAAGUCACGAUAGUUGUCACAAAACCUUUUCACAUUCGUGCUUUGGAGCAUUGGUCAAAGGUCCAUUUGUACCCUCACAAAGUUGAAAGUAUGUGUGAACGUGUAAACGUGAAGAACGGAUCAUAGAUGUGAUUGAGGGACAUCAUUUGAUAGUUAGUCUUUCUUUACAUUGUUUUCUUCUUCUUUUUUCUGAUUGAGGCAACCAUUUGGUAGGUUUUGGUAUUGAACACUAAAAACAGGUCAAAAUUAGGGAACCGUCUAUCGAUGCAAUCAAAAGGGACUUUGUUCAUUAUGAAGAAGUUCAUCUUUUUAGCAUUUGUUGAUGUUCUGUUGGCUUCCCUAUUGAUGUGUCAGCCUGUCAUUUGUUCUAGCAACUUCAGUGAUCAAGAGGCUCUCCUCCACUUCAAAUCGACAUUGGAAGUCGACCCAAGGAACACCAUCAAAGGAGGCAAUUGGACUGUGGAAGCAAAUUUUUGUGAAUGGAUUGGUGUCGUUUGUAGCAACCGCAGACAGAGAGUCACAGCCUUGGACCUAUCACACAUGGGUCUCCAAGGAAGACUCUCUCCCUACCUUGGGAAUCUUUCUCUCCCGGCUUCUCUUGAUCUUCGCAACAACAAUUUUUAUGGCAUGAUUCUGAUAGAAAUUGGCCAUUUAUGCCACCUGAAAAAUCUUAUACUUGAAUCGAACCAGUUCGAAGGAAACAUUCCUCCUAUCUUAACCCAGUGCCAGAACCUCGAAGUCAUGUCACUCGCGACCAAUAGGCUAACGGGUGGCAUACCAAGAGAAUUCGGCGCCUUCCCUAAGUUGCAACAACUGAAUCUUAGCUCAAACGACUUACGGGGUCAAAUUCCAAGCUUCCUGGGCAAUAUAUCCACAUUGCAAGUCAUUGGAUUGGCCAAUGCCACUCUCACUGGUUCGAUUCCUUCAGCACUUUUCAAUGGAUCGCUCACAUGGGUCAAUUUGUCGGAUAAUUAUCUCUCUGGAUGUCUUCCCUCUGAUCUUUGCUACCGCUGGCCUAACAUUCAGAUUCUUUCACUACGUCAAAAUCAAUUCAGCGGCUUGCUACUAGAGACGCUAACCCAAUGCAAAGAGCUUAUCAUAUUUGGUCACGACAAUUAUCAUAAAACCUUUUCACAUUUGUGCCUUGCAGCAUUGGUCCAAAGGUCUACUUGUACCCUCACAGAGUUGAAAGUAAGUGUGAACGUGCUAUGCCUUGUAGCAUUGGUCCAAAGAUCUAUUUGUACUCUCACUGAGUUGAAAGUAAGUGUGAAUGCGUAAAUGUAAAGAAUAGGCCAUAGACGUGAUUGAGGGGCAUCAUUUGAUAGUUAGUCUUUCUUUACAUGUUUUUUUUCUUUUUGCUUUUUUUUUUUAUUGAGCCAACCAUUUGGCAGGUUUUGGUAUUGAACACUAAGAACAUGUCAAAAUUAGCAAACCAUCUAUUGAUGCAAUCAAAAGAGACUAUGUUCGUUAUUGAGAAGUUCAUCUUUUUAGCAUUUGUUGAUAUUCUAUUGGCUUCCCUAUUGAUGUUUCACCAGAAUUGGGUGAGGGCGAAGGAACAUGUAUUAUGAUUUUACAAUUUAAAGUCACCAUGACACGCACAAAGUCCACAUAUUUUUCUCCAUCAAACAUCAGCUUCAUAAAAUUGUAAUCCAUGACAUAUUUCAUUUAAGUUAAUAAAUGAAAGGAUGAAAAAAAUAUUAAAUAUAUUAUGGAUCUAAUUGGACCAACUGAAAGUUGUAGAAAGAUAUUUCACAUUAAUCAAAAGUGAUUUAAUUGAAUUGAUUGAAAAUUCAAAUAUGACAUGAAUCAUGGAUAAAAUUUGACAGACUACUAGUAACAUUAUCUCUUCUAGCAAUAGGAACUUUCAAUUAGUCACUUCCUACGAGACCCUUGAUAUUGCCCUUGCGGGAAGGUCACAACAAUUAUCAUAAAACCUUUUCACAUUUGUUCCUUGCAGCAUUGGUCCAAAGGUCUAUUUGUACCCUCACGGAGUUGAAAGUAAGUGUGAACGUGUUGUGCCUUGGAGCAUUGGUCCAAAGAUCUAUUUGUACUCUCACAGAGUUGAAAGUAUGUGUGAAUGCGUAGAUGUAAAGAAUAGGCCAUACACGUGAUUGAGGGACAUCAUUUGAUAGUUAGUCUUUCUUUACAUUGUUUUCUUUUUCUCUUUUUUUCUUUUUUUUGAUUGAAACAACCAUUUGGUAGGUUUUGGUAUUGAACACUAAGAACAUGCCAAAAUUAGUGGACCGUCUACUGAUGCAAUCAAAAGAGACUCUAUUCGUUAUGGAGAAGUUCAUCUUUUUAGCAUUUGUUGAUAUUCUAUUGGCUUCCCUAUUGAUGUUUCACCAUAAUUGGGUGAGGGCGAAGGAACAUGUAUUAUAAUUUUACAAUUUAAAGUCACCAUGACACGCACAAAGUCUGCGUAAUUUUCUCCAUCAAACAUCAGCUUAUAAAAUUUGUAUUCCUGACAUAUUUCNNNNNNNNNNNNNNNNNNNNNNNNNNNNNNNNNNNNNNNNNNNNNNNNNNNNNNNNNNNNNNNNNNNNNNNNNNNNNNNNNNNNNNNNNNNNNNNNNNNNNNNNNNNNNNNNNNNNNNNNNNNNNNNNNNNNNNAUGACAUGAAGCAUGAAUACAAUUUGAUAGACUACUAGUAACAUUAUCUCUUCCAGCUAUAGGAACUUUUAAUUAAUCAACUUCCCACGAGACACUUGAUAUUGCCCCUGCAGGAAGGUCACGACAGUUAUCAUGACACAUUUUCACAUUCGUGCUUUGGAGGAUUGGUCCAAAGGUCCAUUUAUAACGUGUAAACGUGAAUAACGAGCCAUAGACGUGAUUGAGGGACAUCAUUUGAUAGUUUGUCUUUCUUUAAAUUGUUUUCUUUUUCAUUUUUUUCCUAAUUGAGACAACCAUUUGGUAGGUUUUGGUAUUGAAUACUAAGAACAUGUCGAAAUUAGCGAACCGUCUAUUGAUGCAAUCAAAGGAGACUAUAUUGAUUAUGGAGAAGUUCAUCUUUUUAGCAUUUGUUGAUGUUCUGUUGGCCUCCCUAUUGAUGUUUUGCUAGAUUUGGGUGAGGGCGAAGGAACGGGUAUUAAAAUUUUACAAUUUAAAGUCACCAUGACAUGCACAAAGUCUGCGUCAUUUUCUUCAUCAAACAUCAUCGUCAUAAAAUUGUUAUCCAAGACAUAUUUCAUUUAAAUUAAUAAAUGAAAGGAUGACAAAAAAUAAUAAAUAUAUUACGGAUUUAAUUAAACCAAUUGAAAGUUACGGGAAGAUAUUUCACAUUAAUCAAAAGUGAUUUGAUUGAAUUGAUUGAAAGUUCAAAUAAGACAUGAAGCAUGGAUAAAAUUUGAUAGACUACUAGUGAUGUUUCGCUAGAUCUGGGCAAGGGCGAAGGAAUGGGUAUUAUAAUUUUACAGUUUAAAGUCACCAUGACAUGCACAAAGUUUGCGUCAUUUUCUUCAUCAAAUAUCAUCGUCCUAAAAUUGUUAUCCAAGACAUAUUUCAUUUAAAUUAAUAAAUGAAAGGAUGAAAAAAAAAUAUUAAAUAUAUUACGGAUUUAAUUAGGCCAAUUGAAAGUUACGGGAAGAUAUUUCACAUUAAUCAAAAGUGAUCUAAUUGAAUUGAUUGAAAGUUCAAAUAAGAGCAUGGAUAAAAUUUGUUAGACUACUAGUGACAUUAUCUCUUCUAGUAGGAGGAACUUUCAAUUAGUCAACUUCCCACGAGACACUUGAUAUUGCCCCUAUGGGAAGGUCACGACAGUUAUCACAAAACCUUUUCACAUUCGUGCUUUGGAGCAUUGGUCAAAGGUCCAUUUGUACCCUCACAAAGUUGAAAGUAAGUGUGAACGUGUAAACGUGAAGAACGGGCCAUUUACCGAAUUAGAUGUGAUUGGGGGACAUCUUUCAAUAGUUAGUCUUUCUUUAUAUUGUUUUCGUUUUUUUCCUAAUUGAGACAACCAUUUCGUAGGUUUUGGUAGCGAACCGUCUAUUGAUGCAAUCAAAAGAGACUCUCUUCAUUAUGGAGAAGUUCAUCUUUUUAGCAUUUGUUGAUGUUCUAUUGGUUUCCCUAUUGAUGUUUCAGCUUGUCAUCUGUUCCAGCAACUUCAUUGAUCAAGAGGCUCUCCUCCACUUCAAAUCCAUGAUGGAAGUCGACCCGACAAACAAUAUCAAAGGUGGAAAUUGGACCGUGGAAGCAAAUUUUUGUGAAUGGAUUGGUGUCGUUUGCAGCAACCGCAGGCAGAGAGUCACGGCUUUAGACCUCUCGCACAUGGGUCUCCAAGGAAGACUUUCUCCCUACCUUGGCAAUCUUUCUCUCCUAGCUUCUCUUGAUCUCCGCAACAACAGUUUUUAUGGCAUGAUUCUGAUAGAAAUUGGUCAUUUACGCCGCCUGAAAGAACUUAUACUGGAAUUGAACCAGUUCGAAGGAAACAUUCCUCCGAUCUUAACCCAGUGCCAGAACCUCGAAGUCAUGUCACUCGCGACGAACAGACUAACGGGUGGCAUACCAAGAGAAUUUGGCGCCUUCCCUAAGUUGCAACAACUGAAUCUUAGCUCAAACGACUUACGGGGUCAAAUUCCAAGCUUCCUGGGCAACAUAUCCACAUUGCAAGUCAUUAGAUUGGUCAACACCACUCUCACGGGUUCGAUUCCUUCAGCACUUUUCAAUAGAUCGCUCAUGUGGGUCAAUUUGACAUAUAAUUAUCUCUCUGGAACUCUUCCCUUCGAUCUUUGCUACCGUUGGCCUAACAUUCAGAUGCUUGCAUUGAAUAAAAAUCAAUUCAGCGGCCCGCUACCUGAGAUGCUAACCCAAUGCAAAGAGCUUAUCAUAUUGGGGUUGUCAUCCAAUCGUUUUCAAGGAAGCAUUCCUCGAGAUAUAGGCAGCUUGCAAAAGCUGCAAAAGCUCUUUAUUGCUGUUAACAACUUGACCGGCACGAUUCCUCGAACCAUCGGUAACAUCUCGAGCUUGCACAAGCUGGACAUAGGAUCUAACCACAUUGAAGGGGUGAUUCCGAGUGAGAUUGGCAAUCUGGUCAAUCUGCAACUAAUGGACCUUUCGAAAAAUUUGCUGACCGGCGAAGUGCCUCAAGAGGUUUUUAAUAUUUCUUCGCUUCGAUCGCUUGGUUUGAGGGACAAUUCCCUCUCUGGAAGCUUUCCCUCAGGUAGAGAUCUAAGCCUUCCAAAUUUGGAAGGUCUAUCUCUAGCAAACAAUGGCUUUGGCGGCAACAUUCCGCAGUAUUUCUCGAAUUUUUCAAACCUAAUCCUNNNNNNNNNNNNNNNNNNNNNNNNNNNNNNNNNNNNNNNNNNNNNNNNNNNNNNNNNNNNNNNNNNNNNNNNNNNNNNNNNNNNNNNNNNNNNNNNNNNNNNNNNNNNNNNNNNNNNNNNNNNNNNNNNNNNNNNNNNNNNNNNNNNNNNNNNNNNNNNNNNNNNNNNNNNNNNNNNNNNNNNNNNNNNNNNNNNNNNNNNNNNNNNNNNNNNNNNNNNNNNNNNNNNNNNNNNNCAAAUUCUAACUGCUCACAAAUUGUCAAAAUAAGAGGUCGUAUUCCCGAGGAAAUAAGUUUCUUGAAGAGAUUGACUUGGCUAGAUUUGGGCAAUAAUGCUCUAGACUGCAACAUCCCAUCAUCGAUAAGAGGACUCGAAAGGUUGCAAAGGCUGUAUCUUGACAACAACCAUCUCGAAGGACCGAUCCCUGAUGAGAUAUGCAAUUUGACAGGUUUAGGAGAGUUGGUGCUCGGGCAAAAUAGGAUAUCGGGAUCAAUCCCAAAUUGCAUUGAAAACCUUAGCAGCCUUCAAAAGUUUCUCAUAAGCUCGAAUAACAUGACAUCGGUUAUACCAUUUAGUCUGUGGGGCCUUCAAGAACUCAUUUUCCUCAAUCUGUCACUCAAUUCUUUCAAUGGAGGACUACCACUUGAAAUAGGGAAGAUGAGAGCUAUAGAGAGCAUUGAUCUUUCUUGGAACCGACUUACUGGUGCCAUACCGAGUUCCAUCCAGGAGUUUGAGAGCCUUGCUUCUCUCAACUUGUCAAGGAACUUGUUUCAAGGAUCAAUACCGCAAUCAAUUGGCCAUCUCAAAGGGUUGGAUUUCCUUGAUCUCUCCUACAAUGAGUUAUCAGGCAUGAUACCUGAGUCCAUGGAAGGACUUGCACAUCUACAAAAUGUGAACUUGUCCUUUAAUAAACUAUCGGGAGAGAUUCCUAAUGGCGGGCCCUUUGGAAAUUUCUCGGCUCUCUCUUUCAUUGGGAAUGAAGCACUUUGUGGAAAUGUGACUUUUCAAGUCCCACGUUGCAAAGUAAAUGGAAUGAAAUCAUCAAGGGACAAGUGGCUCCAUAUACUAUACAUUAUUGUGCCAAUUGUAUUAGCUAUACUUCUAGUCCUCAUCAUUUGCUUGUUAAGAAAGCGUGGGACACUAGUGAAAAGCUUCAAUUUCAUGGAGAACUUGCCUAGAAUUGACCACCCGANNNNNNNNNNNNNNNNNNNNNNNNNNNNNNNNNNNNNNNNNNNNNNNNNNNNNNNNNNNNNNNNNNNNNNNNNNNNNNNNNNNNNNNNNNNNNNNNNNNNNNNNNNNNNNNNNNNNNNNNNNNNNNNNNNNNNNNNNNNNNNNNNNNNNNNNNNNNNNNNNNNNNNNNNNNNNNNNNNNNNNNNNNNNNNNNNNNNNNNNNNNNNNNNNNNNNNNNNNNNNNNNNNNNNNNNNNNNNNNNNNNNNNNNNNNNNNNNNNNNNNNNNNNNNNNNNNNNNNNNNNNNNNNNNNNNNNNNNNNNNNNNNNNNNNNNNNNNNNNNNNNNNNNNNNNNNNNNNNNNNAUGGUUGACAUUGCAAUGGCAAUUGAGUAUCUCCACCAUGGCCAAUCGGAACCCAUUGUGCAUUAUGAUCUAAAGCCUAGCAAUAUUCUUCUAAACGAGGACUUGGUCGAACAAGUCUGUGACUUUGGAAUUUCCAAGAUUUUGGCUGAGAACAAGCUUAAAACACAAACUCGAACUCUCGGCACGAUUGGUUACAUUGCUCCAGGUACAUUUGUCGAAUAUUAGCUAAUUAAGCCUUUGAUUGCCAAUAUAAUGGUAUAAUGUAAUAGAGAUAUAUUAGCACUCGUCUGCCUCUUGAUCUUAUUAAUAAUGUCCCAAAAAGAAAUAGAUCAAUUGCCGAUUUUCUUAUUUCUCAAACUAUGAUGCUUGUAGAGUAUGGUUCGGAAGGUAAAGUCACGACAAAAGGAGAUGUAUAUAGUUUUGGCAUAUUGUUGUUGGAAGUUAUUACUCGGAAGAAGCCAACCGGUGAAAUGUUCAAUGCGGAUAUCAGCUUGAGGCAAUGGGUAGGUGUAGCAAUUCCAAAUAGAGUACUUGACAUUGUGGAUAGCAAAAUCCUUCGCACGAAACAUGAAGAUCCGACGCUUUCGAAAUUCAAUAGCAUAGUCUUAUUGAUACUAGAAUUAGGACUAGAAUGUUCAAAGGACUCGCCUGAGGAAAGAAUGGACAUGAAAACUGUCGUGGUUAAGCUCAACAAAAUCAAGUUGUUACUUCCUUGACGAGAAAACAAGGCGAGAGUAGCUUAGAGAAUUUGAACAUAGCAUUUUCAUAUUUUGUACUUAGUAAUUUCAUUUUUAUUGCAUUGUGUGUAUGACUCUGCAAGAUAGUUCCUAAUCUUUUUUUUUUAAAGCUUUUUGAAUGAGAGGAAAAUAAUCCAAAAUGCAACUAGAUCUGCAAUCGAGAGUCUAACUCAUUCUAACUUCAAAAGAUGUAGCAGUUGCCAUGCUCUCUAAGUAAAAACUUUGUUUGAGAGUUGGUAGAUUUGCCAGUGACGAACAUUGUUUCCUUGAAGCUUGACUUCUUCUUGCGUCACGGUCGACGCAGCCCAUGAGCCUUACGUGGCUGGGCAGGGCUAGGCCUUUCCAGCCCGCAUGCCAAGCUUGGGCCGAUACCUAUUUGGGCCAAUUUCAACCCCUUUUCUAUUUUAAUUUUUUCCUCUUAUUUUUACAAAAAAAAAAGUACUUAUAAUUUAUUUUAAUCAAACAAAAGAUUAUUUUAACUUGUCCAUAUUAAAUUGUAAAGCAAAUUCAAACUAAAUGGAAUAGACAGUAGCUUGGCCUUAAAACAAAAGAAAAUAUAGUUAUCAUACCUGCAUUACACGUUUAUAUAGUCAUCUUCAUUCCCUAUACAACGUCAUAAUGGAUAGUAAUAAGACUAUCAUUUUAAUUGCAUGGAAAUAAAAUAUUGAAAGUCAUUUUCUUAUUGUUAUAAUUCUUUUCCAGAAGGCAAACAUCAAAUAAUAUCUUCUUAUUCUUUUGAUGAUUAAAACAAACAUUUAUUCAAAGGCCUAUAGAAACGGUGAAAUAUAACAUGCCUUUUCUUUUAUCUAUUAUCUCUUUCUUUGGCCUGUUUUUCAUUGUUCUCUUUCAAGUUUAUUUACAUUACAAUAUCAAAGUAUACGUAACUGAGGGCUAAAUGGGAAAUCAAAAAAUGAGAUAAAACCCAUUUUUGACUUAAAUAUGUAGAUAAAGGGCAAUUUUUAUUUUCAUCGGCAGAAAAAAAACGAUAUACAAUACGAAUAUGAGUAAAAAAUUAUUAUCAUUGGUUUUUUCGAAUGAUUUGAGGUCAUCACUUCCAAUGAAUUUUACGAGAAAUAGCUUUGUUAGUGGCGGACUUGGUGCCUCCUAGAUGCCAGUCCCACAUGAUGAGUUGUCAAAAGGAUAUUGUCGCGCCAAAUAUCUUUGCUAACUUUUUUGAAAUUCAGAGACGCCGUCGUUUUCUUCUUCUUUUCAACUCUCCCCUCCUCCCUCCAAUCACCUGCAACUCAAAAUCCCGUCCGUCUUCGAUCAUCGUCAGUCGUCGUCAUCAUCGCUGCGAAAUCGGACGGGUGAACGGACGGCAAUCUCAGCAAGCGAGCAACGACCUGCCAGGCGGAGAAGCAUCAGCGAGCAUGGAUGACGCGAACGCCGUCGAAGCCGCUGGAGUUCCGACCUCGGCUCUCCACCGCAUCAAUCUCUCGAGCUCCGAUAUCCGACAGUCGGUGUCCCUGCUCAAACAGGUCCUCGAUUCUCUCGAGUCUUUCCGAUGUUCCGAUUCGAUUUCCGGUACCGAAAACCGAGGAAACUAAGGUUUUGUUUAUUCGUGACGACGCUGGCGGAUGAAUCCUGUCCGUUGGCCUCAGGCGUGCUUGGAUUCUGGCUUUUUCUACGUGAUCAAUCACGGAAUCGGCCAGGAUUUGAUGGAGGAGGUCUUCGCCCAGAGCAGGCGGUUCUUCGGCUUGCCUUUGGGCGAGAAGAUGAAGCUGUUGAGGAACGAGAAGCACCGAGGCUAUACUCCUCUGUUCCCAUGAGGUCCUCGAUGCCGCGAAUCAGAUUCAGGGUUUGUGUCUGAUGAUUUCGUUUGUUCCGUUUUUUUUGGAGUCAGAUUACUGAAGAUUUUGCUGCUUAUAGUGGAUUUAGAUGAGCAGCUGAUGAUUUUGAUAGCUUCCUGUAAUCAGCUGGUGGCUGGUGGUUGAGGAGCAGCUCUUAGAAAAGAAAGAUGCAAUUAGUUAGUUAUUAUUCCUGGUUGUAAUUAUAUUCUGGGAGAGCAAGGAUACUUCAUCAGAGCUGACACAGAAAUAGGAGCGAGUUGUUUGAAGUGCUAACGCGAAACCAUGAGCAAUACAACGAGGAUUUAGAUGAAACUUGUUAUUAUUUAUAUAUAUAAUUAUCACUUUCGAAACCAUGAAAAAUACAACGAAGAUUUAGAUGAAACUUGUUAUUAUGUAUAUAAUUAUCACUUUCUGAAGACCAGUCAAGUAGUAAUGAUUUCAUGGACGUUUUAUAGGAGAUUAUAAGGAGGGAUACUACGUCGGAGCGGAAGUACCAGAGAAUGAUCCUGACGCGCAGAAGCCUCAUUUUGGACCAAAACUCUAGCCUUCUGAGGGUAACUAGUUGCUUAAUAUGAUUAUCUGUGCAACUUCGAAUUGUUCACUGGUGAUAUGUACUUAAUUUGGUUUCACUGUUGUGUUUUAACUAGAGAUAUUGCCAAGAUGGGGGCAGACUAUGGAGAAAUUUCUUAGCGAGGCAUUGUGAGUUUUUGCUAUAGAUGAUAAAGAGCCGCGGACAUUAAAUUUUGUUGCGAGUUGCAAGAUGCGAAAGAUUAUUCCAUCUGAGUAAAAGAUAAAAUGGAGAUGUUCUGUUUCUCUGACGGGAAAUUUGGGGCUUUCCCAGUACCCCCAAUGGUCACCAUCUUCCCCUUCCGCUUGCAUCAUAUUGUGCCAAGUUCUUUUAAUGCCCAAGGGGGUUAAAUUGCCCUACUGCCAAACUGCUUAUGCUCUCGUUGGCUCUUAUUCUAUGUUGGCCAAAGUGUAAAUCUCUUCAGGUUAUUAGUAACUGUUGAUUCAACAAUUUCUAGGAAAUUGUUCAAAAGCUACUCUGCCGCAAUCUGAAUAAAAUAUUUUCAGCUGUCAAGAUUUACUAUUAAUCACACUGACCAAGAGCCUCAGCUAUAAGUGUCUUAUAGGGGUAGGGUUGAUAGUGUAGUCACAAUUUUCAUUGCAUAGGAUCUCCCAAUCAGUUGACUUUUGGAUCUUGUUACAUCUCAAGAGUAAUGCCUAGAUGAUCUAUGUGGCAAAAUCAAGUGCAAUCUGUUGAUAUAAAAAAGUGAUGGUAGUUAAUUUUGGUAAUUUUUUUAUUUGUGAAUAUUCUCAUAAAAAAUGUGGCGAAAGUGGUUGGAAGGAUCAUUGCUCUAGCACUUGAUCUGGAGGCUGAUUUUUUUUGACAAGUCAGAAAUACUCGGCAAGCCUUUUCCGAUCUUGCGCUUGUUGCACUAUGAAUGUAGAUUUUACUUCAAUGAACUACAAAAUAAACCCGACAAUUCUUUCUUCUCAUCCGGUUGAUAUUCCUUUAGGUCUAAUCUCCGAUCCCUCUAAAGGGAUAUAUGGAGCUGGGGCACAUUCGGACUUCGGGUUUAUCACAUUGUUGGCGACAGAUGAUGUCUCGGGUCUCCAAGUAUGAAAUAUUCUCCUAUAAAAUUGUUGGUGCAGACUCUAUGCAUGGUUAUAAUGCAGGGAACUUUUUAAACUUAUUCAGAUUUGCAAGAACAAGGAUGCUAAGCCUCAGGCAUGGGAAUAUGUGCAACCUUUGAAAGGGUAAAGCCCAACAGAACUUGAGAUGAAGAUGUUCGAGAUCUCAUAUUUAAACUAACUUGAACACUUUUGGUGGAAGCCAUCGUGUUAGGUACAUUCUAGUGAUUUGUGGAUUACAAAUUUAACUUGGACUAACUUUGAUUUAAUCUUGUACUUUUGAUUUAUUGGAGCAUGUACAUGAUAACAUUUUCCCCUUAUACGCAUGAUUGGAAGAUUGCUUCAUGCUGAUGUUGAGUGGAAUACUAACCCCGGACUAGUCACAACUUUUUGACAAACAUCGUUGUUUGUCUGACCCUGAUCUGCUACUAUAGUUGUUGUUCGUACAAAGGCAAUGAUAUGCCAGUUUAGAGUGAAAAUAUUAUUGUCAGAUGGGUGAUAAAGAUCGGUUCCAAUUUAGAAAUUCAGAGAGGUGCCCUCAUCCACUUCUCCUUUCGUAUCUGCGAUUUGCAUCUGUAUAAGUAUUCAUAAUAACUUUGAUUAGUUUAAUCCUUUUGAUGAUGAUCCUCCAUCCCUUCCUCCCUCCCUCCCUCUCUCUCUGUGUCAAACAUCCUUGCACACACUCACAUGAUGGUUUGCCCCCAUUCUUUCUUGGUUAAUCGUGUGCAGAUCCACGGCCAUAGAACUACCAGGCAUCAUACGCAUUCUACAAUUAUUAGAACAUGUCUCACGACAUAUGUCUGGUUGCAAGAAGUUUGAGAGGGCAAAAUUUUGGGAGAGAAUUUGUCAUUGCUCAAGCAUCUUUUUUGUUCUGCAUAGCUUUUCGACAGAACACAACAAUCCUGAAAACUAACAUUUUUUCCUUGGCUAUUUGGUACAGAGCGUUCAUAGUGAAUUUUGGUGAUAUGUUAGAAUGAUGGAGCAAUUGUAUUUUCAGGUAAUAUGCUUCGAUAGAAGUCUAUUCAAAUAGAUUGGUAACCUGUCCCAAACUCUACCAAAAUUUCUUCAUUUGUAUCCUCGUGGCUCUUGUUGAUAUUAGUAGCCCAUUAGUAGUGGAAGAGCAUCUGCUCUUGACAUUGCCUAAUUACUGGCUGAGUUGCCUCGGGAAAAAAGUCCAAGUUAAACACAGUUGUUGAAAUGGAAUGAUAUGUUGAUGACUUGCAUUUCUUUCUACAUAGAGUCCACUUUAUGAAUGAUAAACCAUAAAAGAAUUAUCCUAGUGUUUUUGUUAUUAUUGCUCUUAUUGGUCAUUUUUUCGAUACUAAUCUUUGUAUGUGUUCUGCGAUUGCUGACCACAGACAAGGCUUAACAUGCACUGUCAUCAUGCUUGAGAACUGUUUAGUAGUAUAGGAAAUGAGCUCUAUGGUGUCCUGCAGUUCUCCAUAAUUAGCAAGUUCAUUCUCUAUUCUUUUUUUAAGAAUUUGACUUGCCGCUUUUUGCUUCUUUUUGUCGUAUUUAUGCUAAUCUAUAUAUUUUGUUUUGCUUUUGCAAUCAGAUCCACGCUCCAUCGAGUUAUAGGGAAUGGUCAAGAACGGUAUUCUAUAUGGCCUCUCUUCUCUCUCUCUCUCUCUCUCUCUCUCGUCAUCUUUUGGAAAAUUUGGCAAAAGUCAUUGAGAGAAUUUUGAAGCUUUGUCGAGUCUUUUUUGAUUGGUUGGGUAAUAGGAAGAGUAGAGAAUAAUUAAGCCAAUCUAGGAUAGUUGUAGGCUGAUUGGAAAGUGGCCCUGGGUUUGAGAUCACGUUCUAGUGGCAAGUCAGUUGAUCAUGUGAUUAAACUCUUAGGAAAUUCCUCUCAACUCGAGACGAUCUUCAGGAAUAAUGCACAUUUAUUUCUGGAAAAAAAUCGAAUUGUUUUUAUUCCCUUGUUAGCAUUUUUCAUCCCUUACGUUCUCUGUCCUUGAUGAGUUUUUUUUGCUAAAAUCUCUGUUAAAAGUCCUAUUUAUGCUCAUUUUCUCACGGAAUGCAGAUUGCUUUCUUCCUGGAGCCUAACCAUGAGUGUCUCGUCGAGUGCUUGCCUACAUGUAUGUCAGAGGAAAAUCCUCCCAAGUAAGCUGUCUUCCGUAAAUUAGUUUCUUUCCUAUAUAUCAUCAACAUGUCGCUAUUGUAUUUCCCAUGUUGUCAAAUCUCGGCCCUAAGAUCUAGUUCUUCUCCUCCUUGAUUCAAAUGACGGACUUUAUGCGUUUUGUUUGAGUGUCGAUGCUCUGCUUUGUACGUGAUUGUCGAAGUGGAUAUUGCAUUACCAAGGAUCGUCCAAACUCAUAUGCUUAUGCUUGGACUUUUCGUUUAUGUUAAGAGGACUACAUCUAAGUUUUAACUCCAUUUUCAUGAAGAAAAAUGUUUAUACGGAAACCAGGCAUUGACCUGUCCCUGAUUUGAUCAAUUGAUACGAUUGAUUGCGUGCUCACAUUGUGUUUGAACCAUUUCGCGUGGGGAUCUUGGUGUUGUAUUUAUCAUAGCUACUCCCGUAAUUAACUUUUUGGUUUUUUGAUCGUGACUCCAAUAGUCGUUAGACAUGGUGCAAAUUAGCAAAUUUACACCAGCAGCAUCUGAUCCUAAACUAAAUUUCUUCAAGAUGGAUUCACGUGCAGGUUUCCUCCCAUCUUAUGUCAGACCUACUUGGCCCAAAGAUACGGCGAUACUCAUGCUGAUUUAGAUGUAUGCAGAAAGGAAGAAGUUUAGAGCCUGCCUGUGAGGAGCUGGAGCCUGUCCACCAGGACUUGCCUGAAGUGGGGGGUAUACAUUGAGAGCUCGUAAAGAAGUGCCUGAUGAGCUUAGAGAAGAGCAUCGAAUGGGGUACACGCGUGUACAUACAUAUGCAUACACAACUAAUAAUCUGCUUAUGUUUAUGCAUGGAAGUAAUGGUUUGGUCUUCUUGCUUCCGUGAUUUGGCUCCUAAAUUAGCAGUUUGUACAAGCAACUCUUUAAGAAAGGAAAUGAAAUCGAGAUGCCAUGCAUAUUUCUUGGCGCCGACUUUCCUGUGAUUCAACGGACGGACAGUUGCUUUUUUACGAUAGUUUCAGCGGAUUGGACUGUACAUGCAACUUUUGGCAUAUUUAGCAAGAUUUUUUGGAUGAGUUAGGCGUGUCGCUAAGCCUACGAAGGAUUUAAAAUAUAACGGGCUAAGACGAGGAGAAAGCAAGCAUGUCCGUGUGGGUGGCACUAGGAGUAGCAUUAGCAAGGGCACAAACUGAGAUCGUAAGCCGCUUUAGCUACUACGCUGGCUGCUACUUUCUAAGAAAUCUUUCUGAUCUUUCUCAAGGGUGGAUUAGGUCAGUCCCUUCUCGAAUUCCUCCUGUGACGCUUGACUAGCUGACGCUUCCGCUACGGAAAAACAGAGAAACGAGCACUGAAAACAGAACUUCCGACAAGAACCUGGCUAUCUCUUUAGCUCUUUGUUCUCAAUGUAGGUGGAAAAUCUCCCAAGACAGUGAGAUAGACAGUUAAAUUAGCAGUUACCAAGUUAAUUAUACUCUUCUAGCUUUCUUGUAUUUUAAACAGUUAAUUGAUUAUGCAAGAGAUUGAAAUGGAAAUAUGUGGUGGAAACAGAUCCUAUGACAUUCAUUGUUCCGCCCAUUACAUUCGAAAUUUUGACAAUCUUGUAUCUAGGGAUGAUUGGUUGUUGAGUGGGUUGAUUCUCGACUUGAAAUUAGAUAUCCACCUCAUGAUUCCAGGUUUUGAAUUUUCGAGAUUGGGAAUUGAAUCGGUCAUUUUUGGAAUUGUUGCUUCCUGAUUUUGCUGGUUUCCAGUUCUAUUUGGGAAUUACUCCUCUUUUUUGUGUUAAAAAUCAAAUUCUUAUAAUAAAAUGUAAGAGUUGCACUUCUUCACUUAGUAACAUAUUUGAUGAAAUAAUUAUGUUAUUGUUUAUUCACAAUGGAGACCAUGAUUCAUUUCUCAAUUCAACCUGAAAACCGAAGUGGUGGAACCUAUUUAGAUCAGUUCUCUAGUAGAACUAGCGGUUUUGGCCUUAGAAUUGGAAAUUGAGCCAGUCCUAGGUCGGUUCUAAGUUCAUGAAACUGGGAACUAUAUCAAUUCUCCCUAAAAUUGGCCUUAAUUCGAUCGGUUUAGAUCAAUUCAAUCCGAUUCUCAAAUUGAAUCAGUCUUGCUUACCCCUACUUGCAUUGGCUCACUCUACUGUUGCUUGCAUCAUGUAACAUAGAGCAUUAGUUAAAGUAUAGAAACUCAUGCAGUUUUUGUACUUUUGACGGGCAUGCAAAUAAUUCAUAUGAUUUGUGGAAUGCAAUUGAUAGGGUUCAUGGAGUUCAUAUCGUUCAAAAGUCUCUUCAUUUGAGAUGAGGCAUUCGUCCGAGGAGUAAUAGAAAAUGGAAUAGCUCUCCAAGAAUCUAUGAUUUUCUUAGAUAUUCAAAAAUGAAAUAUCAUAAGAGUAAAUUAAAAAGAAUAAUCAUGCAUGUAAAUAUGACUAUUAUUUAGGUUUUUCGAAUUUUAGGAGCCGUUUGCUUUGUAAAAAUUGAACAAAUUCAACUUGUAGAAAGCAUUAAGACAGGGGAAGAAGACGUCACUCAAUCGUUGUCGGUCGUCAUCAUCACCGUGAAAUCAGUCAGGCGGACGGGACGGCGAGCAUGGAUGACUCAAACGCCGUUGAUGUCGCCGGAGUUCCGUCUUCGGCUCUCGACCUCAUCGACCUCUCAAGUGCUGAUAAUGGACGGUCGGUGUCCUUGCUCAAACAGGUCUUUGAUUUUCCCGCCUUUUUCCGCUAUUUUCAGUUCGAUUUCCGGUGCGUGAAACUGAGGAAACGGUUUCCGAGUUGAGAGGGACGCUGACGGAUGAAUCCGAUCCGUUGGCCUCAGGCGUGCUUGGAUUUCGGCUGUUUCUACGGGAUCAAUCACGGAGCCAGCCAGGACUUGAUGGAGGAGGUGUUCGUCCAGAGCAGGCGGUUCUUUGGUCUGCCUUUGAGCGAGAAGAUGAAGCUGUCUAGGAACGAGAAGCAUCGAGGCUACACCCCUCUGUUCGAUCAGGUCCUCGACCCUGCAAAUCAGAUAAACGGUUUGUGUCUGAUCAUCCUGCUGAAGAUUUUACUGCUUAAAGUGGACAUAGAUGAAUUGCUGGUGGUUUUGAUGGCUGUAAUCAGGUGGGGGUUGAGUAGCAUUUCCUGGAAACGGAAGAUCAAUUAGUUAUUAUUCCUAUUUUCAGUUGUAUCCUUGGAGAGAAUUGCCACAGAAUUAGGAGUUUGAAUUGCUAACACAUGACCAUGAGCUAAUAUUUCUGUUAAAAAAGAUUCUACUUAUGCUCAUGUUCUCAUGAAAUGCAGAUUGCAUAUUUCCUGGAGCCUAGUCAUGAUUGUCUCAUCGAGUGCUUGCCAACAUGUAUGUCAGAGGAAAAUCCUACGAAGUAAGUUGUCUUCUGCACAUUAGUUACUUUCCUAUAUAUCAACAAGAUGGUGCAAUUCUACUUCCUCUCUUAUCAGUUCUUGGUCCUAAGAUCUAGUUCUCCUCCACGAUUUGAACUAGUGUCUUUACGCAUUGUGCUUGAAUGCCGGUGCUCUGCUUUGAACAUGCAUGUUGAAGUGGAUAUUGCAUAUCCAGGGAUCAUUCAAGCACUGUAAAGAGGACUGCACCAAGUUUAACUCCAUGAUUCAUGAGGAAAAAAAUGUUUGCUCGUGAAUUAGGCAUUGACCUGUGGCAGAUUUGAUGAAUUGAUACAAUCAACCACACGCUUGCAUUCUCUUUAAAGGGUUGGAUCCUUUUCGUGUGGGGAUUUGGGCACUGCGUUUAACAUAGCUGCUCCAUUAGUGAUUAGACAUGGUGCAGAUUAGCAAAUUUACACCAGCAUGGGAUCCUGAGUUUGUUCAAAAUUGCAUCAAUGUGCAGGUUUCCGCCUGUCCAAUGUCAAACCUACUUGUCCCAAAGACUCCACGAUACUCAUGCUGAUUUAAAGGUAUACAGAAGGGAAGGAGCUUAGAUUUUUCCAGUGAGAGUGGAAGCCUGUCAAGCCGUGUUUGCCCGAAGUAGGGGUAUGCUUUG